Molecule: RNA transcript, 3296 nt
Organism: Formica exsecta
Lineage: Eukaryota; Metazoa; Arthropoda; Insecta; Hymenoptera; Formicidae
Gene: tmod
Gene name: tropomodulin
Exons: 11
Source: RefSeq, a predicted model, not a curated record
UAUGAUACCAACAAGCAUCGUCGAUUCGUGUUCCUGCGGGAGAACACGAGGUUCUAUUUUCGCCAUCAAAAGAGGUGCAGCGUGGGAUACUGUUCGCAUCGCGGGGUUUCCGCGGCGCGGUGCUUUAGUACCAUCAGCCUCGUCGUUUCGCGCGGAACUUGGACGCCCGGAAUAGUUCCGUCGCGCUGUAAAAGUUUUUCGCCGCACGCCGAAAUCGGAACGCGGCUGGUGGCCGCAUAGUAGACAAACCGUGGUGUUUGUCGCUGCCUCCCAUAGCCGUUCGCAGCGAGACCUCUUCGAGAUUGGAAGCACGUUUCUCAAUUUUUGUUGGAAGUGGAUACGGAAAACGUCAGGAUGGACGAGACGGACGCGCUGAUGAGGACUGAUGACGGCAUCAUCAACAGCAACGAUGCUGAGGCGCCCACCGUCGAGGAGACGUACGAAAUGACCACUACCAGACGCAAAACUAUCCGCACCAGCUAUAAGAUCCAGGAGACUUCCUCGUCAACCAAGACAACUACCAUGACGACAGCAGCCAAGCUGUAUGGCAAGGAUCUGAGCGAGUAUGAUGACAUUGAUGUGGAUCAAUUAUUGUCAGAGCUUACGCCAGAGGAACUAAAUAUACUGGCCAAGGAAGUGGAUCCUGAUGACAGCUUUAUGCCUCCUUCGCAACGUUGCAGUUACGAAUGCAACAAGAGUCCUACAGGGCCACUGAAUCGAAAGAAACUCAUUGAACAUAUUAACAAGCAAGCUCUAGAGACACCUGAUAUUCCAGAAUUGAAACCAUAUGUACCUGGUGUAAUUAGAGGAAAAAAAUGGAUGCCGCCGCCACAAGAGAACAUAAAAGAAAAGGAAGCAGAGGAACAAAUCGCGAUAGAUCUUGGGGAUGAAUAUGAACAAGCGCUUUCGGCUGCCACCCAAGAAGAAAUCAUUGACCUUGCUGCUAUCCUUGGAUUUCAUUCUAUGAUGAAUCAAGAUCAAUAUCAUGCGUCUCUACUGAAUUCUGGACAACCGGUCGGACUCGGCUGGGAUGGAGUGACGAAAGCUAGUAAACCGAAAGUUUAUCCGAUGGAACCGCCCAACGACACGGAUGUCGAUGCUACCAUUAAACAAGUGCGAGAUGAUGACUCCAAUCUGAGUGACUUAAAUUGGAAUAAUAUUAAAAAUAUUUCGGACGAAAAAUUCAUACAAUUGUUUGAAGGAUUGGAAAUGAACACACAUCUUGAAUCGCUAAGUUUAACCAACGUUGGACUCAACGACAAGACCGCACAACGGCUUGCUGAUGCUUUAGAAAAGAAUUCGACACUCAAAGUACUCAACGUGGAGACGAAUUUCAUAAGCCCACCUGUGAUAGUAAGGCUGAUCAGGUCCCUCCUUAAGACAAAAUCCAUCGAAGAAUUUCGAUGUUCGAAUCAGAGAUCGCAAGUACUGGGUAACAAGAUUGAGAUGGAAAUUACGCAAUUGGUAGAACAAAACCCAACGUUGCUACGGCUUGGGUUACAUCUGGAAUUCAAUGAUGCUAGACAUCGCGUGGCUGCGCAUUUGCAACGCAACAUUGACAGGAUACGGAAAGAUCUAUCGUUGCGGCUACAGUUCCGAUUCUUUAACAUGAACCACAGGAAACCUGCCUUGAUUCAAUGAAAGUACGGCAGUCCCGGCUCGGGGUGGCGACAUCUUAACGCGAAGUGGCGUUCGCCUAGGUAUCUUAUUUUGUACAUAUAUAUAAUAUACACACACACACAUAUACUAUAUAUAUUAUAUAUAAAUGUAUACUAUUCUUUCGCGCACAUAUAUCGACUGAUCUCAUUGCCGCCUAUGUCACCGCUUUAAAGGCUUAAUCUACUUAUCCUGUCGUUUGCCAAGACAAUUGUUGUGUCUCUCGCGAGGAAACGCGAACGAAAAUGGGACGACGACGACGAGAUAUGAAACAGCAUGCUUACAUUACUUGACUCUAUUCGCUGUGUGUACAAUAUAUAGUGAAUCGAAAAAUUCUUUAUUUUGGAGGGUUUUGAUCCUCGGACUUAUAACCAUAGUGACCGACUCUCUUAAAGAAGUCAAGAUGUAUGGCAAAUAUUUAUAACUGCAAUUAAAAAAAAUAAUGCAAUAUAAUAGUAAAUUUAAGCAAAGCUUCUAAGAAUUCUGUUUUUUUCGAAUUUAGACUCUCACUGUAAAUUUCAUCUACAGCUAGUUUGAUUAAUUUACACAUUCGCGAAUCGUUGAAUAAGUUAUACGACGAUUGAUACUCUUAAUGGUCAUUCUAUAAUUGAAGAAACAUCUAUCAGCUUAAAUUUAAAGAUUAUAUUGCCCAGAUUAAUUUACAUUGCCAAUCGACAUUCUUAAUAAUCAUUAUAAAUUUAAGCGAUACAUGAGAUCGUUUCUUCAAAUUUAGAACAAUUCUAAACAAUUUUAUUUACAGUUGGUUACGUACAGAUGAAUUUAGAUAUUGUGAUGAUCAAUAUUUAUUUUUAAUGAUUAUAUUCUAUAAUAAGUUUAGAGGAAACGUCAGAUUUAAAACGACGAUUCCUUCCAAUUUAGACUGUCAUUCUAAAUUUGUAGCUCAUCAGAUUAGUCGAGUAAUUUCCGAAUUAUUUAUAACAUUGCAAUUGGAUGUUCUUAUUGAUUAUUCUAUUUACAAAUCGCUAUCUCGCGAUGGACUAUCGAGUAUCUUUCGGAAUAACCGCACGGUGAUGAUGCUGGGAGCGAAAUUUGCAUAGGAUCAACGACUGCGGAGAGGAUAUUUUAUCGGAUAUGUGUCGUUGAUGUGGGGACUUGUUGUCGCGCAUGGCAAUCGUCGAGAUCGAAACAACACGCAACGUACCCCGCCGACUACUGUCGCUUAAUCGCAUUUCUCCGUUUCUCGUUUGCCCGCCGUUUCCUCCCCCUGCUGUUUUACAUCCCUCUGUGCGACGCUGUGCAUAUUCGCCGUCCACGUUGCAUCGCCUGCGUCGCAUGGGAAGAGUUUCCCGCAACUACACCAUCGGCUGGGCCAUGCAUUGAUGAAGAUCGCCACAAUGAUGGCAACGACGACGAUGACGAAGACGAUAAUACGCCAAUGAUCGCGCGCGAGUUUCUUAAAGCGCCGUAAAACGGUCUGUACACAUACACAUAUGGUAUUAUAUCACAGCGCAAUAUCGAAUUUAAAAUUUUUUUUAUAUAAUUUGGAUCCUCCGUAUCUUGAAAUCGUCGCGAUUUACGUCGUUUGAUACAAAAUACUCGUUCGCGGAGGAAAAAUCGGAAGCUUCGCAUGCGAUAAAUUACGCGUGAAUAUCUCUCGUCUUUGUUGCUCUAAAAAAAAA